Molecule: ribosomal RNA, 464 nt
Filed under: uncultured bacterium
Lineage: Bacteria
Description: partial 16S ribosomal RNA
Rfam family: Bacterial small subunit ribosomal RNA
Source: RNAcentral
GACGAACGCUGGCGGCGUGCUUAGCACAUGCAAGUCGAACGGAAAGGCCCCUUUGGGGGUACUCGAGUGGCGAACGGGUGAGUAACACGUGAGUAACCUGCCCUUGACUUCGGGAUAACUUCAGGAAACUGGGGCUAAUACCGGAUAGGAAUCCUUGCUGCAUGGUGGGGGUUGGAAAGCUUCGGCGGUUUUGGAUGGACUCGCGGCUUAUCAGCUUGUUGGUGGGGUAGUGGCUUACCAAGGCUUUGACGGGUAGCCGGCCUGAGAGGGCGACCGGCCACAUUGGGACUGAGAUACGGCCCAGACUCCUACGGGAGGCAGCAGUGGGGAAUAUUGCACAAUGGGCGGAAGCCUGAUGCAGCAACGCCGCGUGCGGGAUGACGGCCUUCGGGUUGUAAACCGCUUUCAGCAGGGGCGAAGCUUUUGUGACGGUACCUGCAGAAGAAGCACCGGCUAACUACGUG